This is a non-coding RNA of Podarcis lilfordi (Lilford's wall lizard), 7086 nucleotides long. The record is from the annotation of a GenBank genome assembly. Lineage: Eukaryota; Metazoa; Chordata; Lepidosauria; Squamata; Lacertidae.
CUUGAAGUCUUGGUAAAGUUCAAAACAGUUAACAGUCAGACUGCAUCUCAGCACUGUCAAGAUGGAUCUCCAUAACAGGUCAUGAAUAGUUUUAUUUGGGGGAUAUAUUAACUUUUACUAUUGGGGGAAAGUUUUAGAUUAGUUUUCCAGUUUGUAACCCAUCAAGCUGAGGCCAAUAAAUAUACAUUUGUAACCCUGUACCCAUUAAAUAAUCAACUUUAUGUGUGAAUUUGGGACUGAUUCAUACAACCACAUUUCCUUUCUCAAGAAAGGUUGGAAGGUAUGUAAUUUGAAUGGCUAUUGCUCUCUGCUGUUAGGGUGUUGUCAGCGGAUCCUGGCUAAUUGCCCAGGAAAGUAUAAACAAGGAAAAGUUUCAUACAGUUCUUUUUUAUGUCAAACUUUACAGAGAGAGGCUAUAGAACCCAGCCUCUUGGAUAAUGGUGUUGUCCUGAGUGAAUCUCCACCCUCCAUCUCUCCCACUUGCUCAUCUAUUACUUCUACGGGUGCUGAUACAUGCCCUCUGUCUUUGAGCUCUUUGCUCUCCUACUUUUAAGGCUCGCCGGGUUCUGGGAGAUGGUAGGUCUGGAAUGCUUUCUUGCAACAACAUGUCAGCCAGCUGCUGCUCUGGCUCUCCCAUGAUUUCCCAACUUUCCCCCUCCUCUGCCUCUGAGCUGCGACCUCCCCCAAACCCCUGUUGUAAAUCUACAUUGUCUUCCUCUUCCUCCUCCCUGGAAGGAUCAGGAUGGAGAGGCUGUCUCCACCAUUCCUCCUCUGCCCAGUCUCUGAGACUACCUCCUCUUCAGCUGCUUCUUUUUCCUCUCUGGACUCAGCUAUACAGCUCCAAAUAAAGCGUUUAAAUGUGUUGUAAAUAUACAAAUGUGACACCAGAUGGCGAUGGUGAGCUAUGCCAAAUGCAAUGUAUUUUUCAAAACGUUUCUUUUAAUAAAAAGCAUUCUCACAGCGUUCUUUAUAUGUGUGUAGAUUGCACCUCUCUCUCACUCAAGCCUCUUGUGGCUCAGCAUCAAACCAUCCUUCAUCUUCUGCCCUAUCUUAAGUGACCCACCACCACUCUCCUGAGUCUGAGCCUUCCGCUUCUGAUGCUUCCACAGGGGGUUCUCUGGCUAGGACCUCCCACCAUUCCUCCCUGUCCAGCCAGUCCCUGACACAGGCUAAAGAUCAGGCUCCAGUUCAGGCUGACAAGGGUCGACAAGCAAAGGUAAAGCCAGAGGCAGGACUGGCCCUACCAUUAGAUGGGAUUGCAGCACUUAACAGGGGGGAACUGACAGGUGGUGAUGAUGAUGACAUAGAGCACCUUAUAAACCCUGGAAUUAACCGAGAUCUGCUACACAGCACAUACAUUUCCAGCAGCUAUGAUCUCUCCAGCUUCAAGAGCAGAAAUAAUCGAUACCUGUGUAGGAUGGCCGUGUUCCACUGACCAUAAUAAAGGAAGCCAGACAAGCAGACUCCAUUUCGGGUUUGCGUUUGCAGAGGUGGCUUUGGUUUCUCUUUGCCUCUUUCCUCAUAUUUCAUGCCUUCAUGCAAUAUUUACAACUGAAAGAAAACGUUCUAUAUCAGGAAGGAAUGAUAAAGGGAUGCUUUAGCCAGAAAUGCAAGCAAAGAGGAAAAGACUUGCCUCGCGCUGCAAUGCUCAAGGGACUAACGGUCAUUUAGAGAAAACACAUCUCAGAAGCAUCCGACAAAAUGCAGCUCCACAACUCACUCGGCUCUAACCUGCCUGUUUAUUUAGAGUGGAUACGUGAAGGUUUGCAUCUGCCCGAAGAGUGUGGUCAGGAAUAUGGUCCUAUAAAUAGUUGGCAAGUGUAAAGCAGGCCACAGCAACGCUAUGGGAGAACAGAACAGAACAGAACAGAACACACUGCUGCAAAAUAUGAUUUUAAUAAGCAGCACCAAGCUAAAUCCCUGUACGUUUCAAAUUGUUCUUCGGAGGAAAUUGUAUCUGUUUAACUAUUAAAGAUUCCGUUCUUGUUUGCUGUUUGCUCAAAAGCCACAGUUUGCAAACUUGGCUAGCCUUGGCUACUGAACUGUUCAGUUAGAAACUUGCAGGGAUUUAGCUCGGCACAGCUUAUUAGAAUAAUCUUUUGCACCUCUUGCUGUUUACCACUCCACUUUCUCCCAUCAAAAUUAAAUGUACGGAAUUCAGCCGAGAUAUGCACAUUCUGCGAUGCCUGUUGGGGAUUAUGCAUGAUGGCCAGAGAAUGUACAAAAUUCAGUCGUUGUUUGCACAUUUCCCAUGGCCUGCUGGAGACUAUAAAUAAGUAAAUAUAUUUAUAAAUAAAUGGAAUAAAUGCGAUCUCGUAUCACAUGACAGUGCAGAUAAAAAAGAGCAAGGGAGGAAUGAAUUUUCAGGUUAAGAUUAAAGAUCAGCACAGUCAAAUCAACCAGUGGGUGUUCAUUAAGUGUGAUGGAGCCGUGAUGUUCUAUUCAGACAUUUUACAUGAAUGUGUGACACCAUUGCAUAUAAAGUGCUUUUCUUUCCUUGAUUAGGUAGCACCAUUUGGGAUUAUAGACCUCUACAUGUGAAUUCUAUGGACUGCCAUUUAUUACAGCUGAUACCAUCAUGACACCUGGUGACAAAUAAAAUGCUCGUGGGUGGAAGACAUUAAAAUAAAUUCAAAAUGAGGGAACAGCCAGAAAACACCCAAGAAGAACCCCAAGCAUCUCUCCUGAGAGCAGUAGUGUAGCCUUAUUAGACUUUACCGAUGGUAGGGUGAGUGUUGCUCCCAGAACAGGGAGGAAGGAGUCAAAUGACACCAAGGUUGAUUCAGAGAAAGAGUUUAUUCUGCUCUCCGGAUAGCAGAAGGCACUUGCGUGGUCAGUUCACAGCAAGUCCAAAGAAAUGAGAAAUUUCAUGCAGUAUAUAUAUCCUCCAGGCACCCUCUCCCCCCUUCCCCAGGAAUCCAACCACGUCAGCUCAUAUACGCAAGCUGACAUCCAUGACCAUAAACAGAUAUUCCUGUUCCGGUACUCUUGACCAUAAAAGGUUGUUCCUGUUCCUAUACUCUUAUCUUGGGGCAGGAGGUCACCAACUCUAAGAACACUCCUGGCACCGUUCCCGGGUCUCUUGUCAGACCUGACAAGGUCUGUGCGUCUUUUUGUGGUCAGGAUGUAAGAUAAGACUCAGACGUGCCAUCCCUGCUCCAUGGAACUGGCAAGGUCAUCCAUUGCCGUCACGGACUGAUAAAGGAGAGGGCUUUGAGCACUUGUUUAUACAGCUGGGUUUCUGUUUAUACAUUGAUUCAAGAGCUUAAGUUAAUGCAUUUUAGAAAUGCUCCCUUGGAGAAGGAAAAAUGAGGAUUUUGGGUCCCAUUUCAGACUGACUGCACAGAACCCAUUCCUUCCCCCUUCAGUAGCAACCAACAUUUGCCUACGGUGAUACUUUUAAAUGCACACAAAUUUAAAAACAAAACGGCAACUGAAAGCCUAUGAGUUAAGAUCAUCUUGAAAGCAUCUGACCAGAAACCCUAUGUUUUUGUCAUCUCCAUGACCUGCAUUUUUAUACAAGAGGAAUUGGGAGUAACAUCACCCUUAUCAGUGUGAUGGCAGGUGAUUGGUUACCAUUCUACAAUUGCAGCGCUGCUUUGUAUUUAAGGGAGACUUAAGAACUGCACACCUGCAACCACAAUGUGUCAACAAGGUCAUAAAAUGGAACAUUACUUUUCUGAAUUCCGACUUUCAGUUUUUUGAAAAGUGACUCGGCAGGAAGAGGGGAACCUAUGAGUACCCUGCUCAUACAACUUAGACAAAAGUAUGCUAUCCCGAGAAGAUACUCUCAGUGCACUCUCAGCACUAAAAUUACAACUUACCCACCUGGGAAAGUAGUGUAUUGUGCCUGGUUUGUUGUUGUGGUGGUUAACGGCUGAGGUGGAGGAAAUAGAUUUCAGUUACAAGGAUCAACUCAAAGGGUAGCAAUUUUUUGUCAGAAGAAAUUACAUGGACGCUAUCAGCCCAGGCAGCAUAAGCUGAAGCAGAGAAAGUUACCAGCUGAGUCCAAAUUACAGAGUAUUUGUCUGAUGUUAUUUAACCUUUCUGCAAAGAUUGCUCCAAGUGUUUUGCUAGAAAGUGGAGAGGGUCAUGUUGAUGCUUCGGCCUCCCCCUUUAUUAUCUGGGCUGAACGGCACAACUCUAAACAAGGCAACACAUUUACCCAAGCUUCCAUGUGCUCCUUUGCAACUUUGGGUUCAAUUUGCUUCGCAUCUCAAGGCGAAGCUCCCUAAUUUGCGCUUUCUGAAACAAUACGAGAGCCGCAAGGCAGCCAUCCUUCCAAAUUUGCACUUAUUUGAAAUUUGCAAUGCCACAUAAGCCAAAUAAUACAUACACAAAUGCAUAUACGGGGAUAAAGCGUGCAUUUUAAAAGUGCAAGAGUCCGUGAAAAUAACAAGCAAAAAUGUGCAUGGAAAUGCUGGUUAUUUUUUUAUUAUUAUUUAAAAAAUCACUGGCUGAUGUGAAUGACUGGAAGGAGAAGAAGCUGGGGAGAACUGAAAAUGACAGAUUUGGCCAUCCCUAGGCUAGAGAGCUCCAUUCUUCUCCCAAACCUGGCAGCCUUGCCUGCUGCUGCAGCAGAAACCUUGCAUAGUCUCUUGCUCAUGAAAUGCAAGUGGAACACUGCAAGGAGUAUGAGGGAGCAGUGGUAUCAAUGGCAGCUUUCUCCUUCCUGGGGCAAUGUCAUCACUGGAAGAGAACUAUUCACCUGCAGACACCUGCUGCAGAGCCUGCCCUUCUAUCUGGGUAACUGUGCUCCUCAUCCCUAUCUCCUUCAGUUUAUAAUGUACGUCCUUGUGUUACCCAGCUAGAGUGAAGACAAUGUAGCUCUCCAGUUGUUAGACUGCAGCUUCCACUGGAGCAAGACAGUUUGAGCAUCUUACGCCAGUGCUGGUUUUGACCCAUAAAGCUUUAAACAGCUCAGGACUGCAAUACCUCAAGGACCGCCUCUUCCCAUAUGAACCUACCCAGUCCCUGAUAUCAUCUUUUCAGGCCCUCCUUCGUGUGCCUCCUCCUCGAGAGGUCUGGAGGGUGGCAACAUGAGAACGAGCCUUCUCUGUAGUAGCUCCCCAUCUAUGCAAUGCUCUCCCCAGGGAAGUCCGCCUGGCGCCUUCAUUAUACACCUUUAGGAGCCAGGCAAAAAUGUUUCUUUUCAACCAGGCCUUUGAUCGACAUCCUAUGCCCUUUUAAAAUGUGGCUAUUGGGUUGUUGUUUUUAUUUUGAUUAUGUAUUUUCGUUUCAUAUUUUGAUUUUGUUCUGUGAACCACCCUGACACCUCUGGGUAUUGGAAAUUUAAAUUCAAUAAAUCAUCAUCAUAUCAUCAUCAUUCCUGACUGUUGGCCAUGUUGGCUGGGACUGAUGGGAAUUGGAGCCCACCGAUAUCUGGAGAGCCACUGUCUCCAGAAACCUAGUUCCAAUGCUAGCCUAUCUUGUAUCUGUGUCUUAUGAUGUAUCCUCUGUAGGGUCCUUGCCAAUGAGUGAGUGGACGAUUCAGAGUCAAAGAUGGAGAGCAGGUUUUGACAACCAUACACAAAUAAGUCAGGAAGCAAAAUAGUAGGAUCUGUAUAAAGGAUCACCAGUAAUGAUUUGGGAUUCCCAUUGGUAUAAGGUUAAACAUGUAUUUUGUCCCUCUCCCUCUUGGUUGUUGUUUAGUCGUGUCCGACUCUUCGUGACCCCCUGGACCAGAGCACGCCAGGCACUCCUGUCUUCCACUGCCCCCUGCAGCUUGGUCAAACUCAUGUUCGUAGCUUCAAGAACACUGUACAGCCAUCUUGUCCUCUGUCGUCCCCUUCUCCUUGUACCCUCCCUCUUGGUAAUCAGCCGCAAUGCAUAGUUGUCAGGCUUCAGUGAAUUCCGAUCCUCUCCCCUCUCACGGCAGACAUCCAAGGAAGUAGGCGAGGAAGUUCUUAUCGAGUCUUUAUUCAGUAAUUCACAGCAAGAGGAUCAUGUACUCCGCCUCUUAGAUUAAUGGCGUUGCUCCAACUGAGCUCCUCCCCCCUCCCUUCCUAGCAACAGCACUUCCCUUUAUGGUGGCCAUCAGGGUUAAUUGUCUCUGUGGCCUUUGCUCUUCCACUUUCAAUGCAUGCUAGGUUCUGGGAGAAGGGGGGUCAGAAAUGCUCUCCAGUGAUAAUGUGUCAGCUGGCUGCUCUGCCUUUGUCUCCCCCUUUUCUCUUCCCAACUCAUCUGUUCACCUGUCUCUGAGCUGUGAGCUUCCUCAAACCACUGCUGUAAUUCAAUACUGCCUUCUUCUUCUCUGGAAGGUUUGGGGGGCAGUCUCCACCAUUCCUCCUCAGUCUUGUCCCCCUCAGUCCAGUCCCUGACAUCAGUCUUGCAAAGCCAGAUCAGCAAUGCAACCCCAUCCAUGCCACCCGACCAGUCGCUACUGGGCCUGCCCCCUUCGUUUGCGUACCUCUGAAUAUUUCCCCGAAGUCUGAAAACACCAUGCUUUGAGGAAACAGCUACCUAUAGUGUGUAAGCCAUGGGUGAAAGAAAAAAUAAGAAAUAGAGAGAAGGAUUCACUUUGAGCCCCAUCAGCAGAAGGCAUGUGUAAAGAUAUCUGUUUGUGCAAUGGGGCUUUUACUACCCCUUCCCCACAUGCCCCCAUCUGAAAUUAGUGUCGGGUGGGUGGGAGAACCCCCGGAACAGUGCAGGGAAGGGAGUGCUGAGAUCAUUCCGUCUGGGAGGCUGAAAUGCUUGCACUGCAGGCAACGUUGAAUUCCACACAGAAAUGUUUCCCUGGAACACUUAUAAGGACAUCCAGAAAAGGACACCUGGCCCCUAAUAACAGCAAAAUUGAAUGGAUUUGUUUUUUGGCACAGCUCCUGUUUCUGCUGAUGAAGAGGCUGCUCAGUGGGGCAUGUGCACUGGAAACAUGUGGAAAGUUCAUCAGUGACAAAGAGAGCCGAGCCUUCACCCAACAGUACUGUUUAUGGCACAGAUGAUGAAUGAGACUUGCUGACAAUGAUGACCUGGGGGGGCCUUUCGCAGAACACGAUGAAGUACAAUUAGUGCUCGGGGCUCUUGAAGAGUGCAAUACAAUGCAAUAAAUACUUCCCAUGAAGUAUUAAAACACAUUUUUAAAAGAGG